Molecule: long non-coding RNA, 757 nt
Organism: Chroicocephalus ridibundus (black-headed gull)
Lineage: Eukaryota; Metazoa; Chordata; Aves; Charadriiformes; Laridae
Exons: 5
Source: RefSeq, a predicted model, not a curated record
CUAUAUACCACUAUUGAACAAAUUACAGAAAACAUUGCAUUUUUAUAUUCAAAUGCUUUGAAUGAAUUACAUCUCAUCCUUUCCUUUUUUGGAAGAUCUCUUUUCUUAGGAUACUUUUUGGGUUAACUUAAGGAAACCCGUGAAGAGCUACGUGCAAAUUCCUUGAUUCAAUAUGGAAAUUUCUAGAAUUACAGCUAUUAUGUACUUACACAGCCACCUGCCAUGCUAUGUCAAAUAUGAUUGAAGAAAUAUCUUAGGCUUGCUAAAUUGACUUUGCACCACACAAGCACUAGAACGCUCAGCCGUAGACUUCUGUGCGACAAUGAAUCAACUGGCUGAAUACCCCAUUCCCAUAACAGAAAUAGGGGCACUGGGGACCAUAUGACACAAAAAAAUUUCCAGAGGCCUUCCAAGUGUCACUAUAGCUAAGUUUCUACAGAGCUUUUGGAGCAUUUAAAUCUAUGGUGAUUCUGUUUGCUGCUGGAAUCCUCAAGCUCUGUAUGUUCAGUACAGCUUGAAGCAAACAGACAGAGCUCAUAUACUCACGUACUUCACGCACAACGGUGGAUAGCGAUACCAGCUCAGAUUCCACAACCAAUACAGAUUUGUUGAUGCAAUGCAGUGCCUGGGCUAAUGAGACUUGAUUCUCAGUGUAGUUAGCUAAAGUACUGUACAAAUUUAGUUGUAUUGCUUCUAAAUCCAAGACUGACUUACUCAACACUAACUUGAUUAUCUCUAGUUAUGUUCUGCAGUGUUU